RNAcentral lists this ribosomal RNA (468 nucleotides) under uncultured bacterium. RNAcentral describes it as "partial 16S ribosomal RNA". It matches the Rfam family "Bacterial small subunit ribosomal RNA", at positions 28 to 507 of the family's 1533-position model. The record is from RNAcentral.
GACGAACGCUGGCGGCGUGCUUAACACAUGCAAGUCGAACGGAAAGGCCCUGCUUUUGUGGGGUGCUCGAGUGGCGGACGGGUGAGUAACACGUGAGUAACCGGCCCUUGACUUUGGGAUAACUUCAGGAAACUGGGGCUAAUACCGGAUAGGAGCUCCUGCUGCAGGGUGGGGGUUGGAAAGUUUCGGCGGUUGGGGAUGGACUCGCGGCUUAUCAGCUUGUUGGUGGGGUAGUGGCUUACCAAGGCUUUGACGGGUAGCCGGCCUGAGAGGGUGACCGGCCACAUUGGGACUGAGAUACGGCCCAGACUCCUACGGGAGGCAGCAGUGGGGAAUAUUGCACAAUGGGCGGAAGCCUGAUGCAGCAACGCCGCGUGCGGGAUGACGGCCUUCGGGUUGUAAACCGCUUUCGCCUGUGACGAAGCGUGAGUGACGGUAAUGGGUAAAGAAGCACCGGCUAACUACGUG